RNAcentral lists this non-coding RNA (21 nucleotides) under Arabidopsis thaliana (thale cress). The record is from RNAcentral. Lineage: Eukaryota; Viridiplantae; Streptophyta; Magnoliopsida; Brassicales; Brassicaceae.
AUAUCAAACGGCCAUACACGU